CAGGUUGCCACAUGGGGCUUGGAAGAACUGACUGUCUUGUUAGGGUGCGGUUGGAUAUCAGACCUCAGGUUGCACUCUAAGAUAAAACAGUGUUACUUGCUCACACAUUACACGAUUGACCUCUUACCAUGAGUGAGGACUGCUCUGGCCAGAAAGGGAAUCAGAAGAGUCCUGGUACAAAAAAAAGUCCAUCUAGAGAGCUGCAAUUAUGAAGUUAAUGGAGUAGUCAAAUACUACAACGUUGAAUGUACCCAAGAACCUGCAAACCUAUGCUGUCUGCCUAAGCAAUCUGCAUUAUGUGCUGGCAGCUAUGGCUCCUGUGGAAUUUAUGUUCUGAGCACUGAGGAAGAGCAUCUCCCCCUGAAGUCAUCUAGCACUGAUUUCACAUUCUGGCUAUCCUGGAACAUGUCCUCUUGUGUUUCGAUUUCCACGAGAAUUGCAGGAAAGGAGUUCUUGUAAUAGCUGCUCUUGCUUAUGCCUGUAGGAGUGGGAAGGAGGACAUCAACUGGUAGCAUAAGCCCAGACACCUGAGUACCAUACCAUUCUCCUCUGAGAUUCUGG
RNAcentral lists this long non-coding RNA (561 nucleotides) under Gallus gallus (chicken). RNAcentral describes it as "lncRNA (ENSGALG00010008961.1)". Lineage: Eukaryota; Metazoa; Chordata; Aves; Galliformes; Phasianidae. The record is from RNAcentral.